GGAAUUCUGUAUACCAAGCAAUAAAACUAAUCGCUUUUUUUCUGGAGGAAAGAAGAUUAGAGAUUAAUUAUCUCUGUGAUCUUGUUGAAAUUGAAUAUAUUAACGAUGAAGAGCAUACUUUUAUAAAAGAGUAUACAGAAGUUAUGCAAUAUGUUGCUGUUUCCCUUGAAAUUUUGGAAGGUGAGGAUAAUAUGGAGAUGGGGUAUUAUGUUCCCACUUUAAGUAUCCUAAAUACCAAAUUAAAGAGAUUGAAUAAUCUAAUCUUAUGCCAGCCCCUAGUAGACUCUCUGUUAAAAGGCAUUGAGAGAAGAUUUCCAAACUUAUAUAAUGAUGACAAUGUCUUAGCGGCAAUGGUUCAUCCAAAGUUUAAACUAAACUGGCCAUAUAUAAAUUCCGAUGAUGCCAAACAUCAACGCGAUAGGCUAAUGGCGAAGCUGAAUAAUCUUACUCCAACAAACAUAGAUUGCCGAGUAUCUACCACGAAGACAUCCUCAAAUAAUUUUUUUGAAAUUAAAGAUGAUUUAAUAGAAAAUCCAAUUGAUCUUUUUUUUCAAUCAAAAAAUAUUGAAAUGAAUAUUUUUGAUAAUUUUUCAUAUAUUAAAAAUUUAUAUAUAAAAUUAAAUACCCCCUUGCCCUCAAGUGCUAGU
Long non-coding RNA from Gordionus sp. m RMFG-2023, 647 nucleotides. RefSeq lists it as uncharacterized. NCBI's taxonomy places the organism in Eukaryota, Metazoa, Nematomorpha, Gordioida, Chordodea, Parachordodidae. The transcript has 3 exons. The record is from RefSeq and is a predicted model, not a curated record.